GCCCCCUUAGCUCAGCUGGACAGAGCAUCGGUUUUCUAAACCGACGGUCGCUGGUUCGAUCCCAGCAGGGGGUA
Molecule: transfer RNA, 74 nt
Filed under: Pseudomonadota bacterium
Lineage: Bacteria; Pseudomonadati; Pseudomonadota
Also listed under: 1 other name
Description: tRNA-Arg
Rfam family: tRNA
About the family: Transfer RNA (tRNA) molecules are approximately 80 nucleotides in length. Their secondary structure includes four short double-helical elements and three loops (D, anti-codon, and T loops).
Source: RNAcentral